UAUCGACUGUGCCGCAUGAGCAGGAUUUUACGGCACAGUCGAUAGAUAGCGCGCUGUACUUCGGGCAAGAAGGUCGAGGGUUCGAGGCCUGCUCCCUGCUGUUUCAUUACACUAUCUUUUGGCCACACGAUGGUGGUAUAAGAUUGUAAAUGGUUUAAUUUUAUUUUAUGUUGUCUGAACGGAAGGUUGCAAAAUUCCCUCUACCUUUCCCAGAUCUGAUUGAAAGAUUGCGGAUUUCCUUCUUACUCACUCCCGAUUUCAAAAUAUUUAUCAAAUUUGUAUUUCUGGAAAAACCUUGGAAAUGUUUGGGGGGAUUGGCCUAUGCACAAGUUGGAGUGUACAGCCAUGUGUUCCUAUGGGGAGAACUGAUGUCCCUCAGAGACCGUCAGACUGGUGGCCAGGAUCAUCAUGAAACAGGUCAGUCGUUGUGUGUGUGUGUGUGUGUGUGUGUGUGUGUGUGUGUGUGUGUUGCAUUUGGAAAGUAUUCAGACCCCUUGACUUUUUCCACAUUUUGUUACAAUGGAGUCCACUUGUGGUAAAUUCAAUUGAUUGGACAUGAUUUGGAAAGGCACACACCUGUCUAUAUAAGGUCCCACAGUUGACAGUGCAUGUCAGUGCAAAAACCAAGCCAUGAGGUCGAAGGAAUUGUCCUUAGAGCUCCGAGACAGGAUUGUGUCGAGGAACAGAUCUGGGGAAGGGUACCAAUAAAUUUCUGCAGCAUUGAAGGUCCCCAAGAACACAGUAGCCUCCAUCAUUCUUAAAUGGAAGAAGUUUGGAACCACCAAGACUCUUCCCGAGAGCUGGCCGCCCGGCCAAACUGAGCAAUCGGGGGAGAAGGGCCGUGGUCAGGGAGGUGACCAAGAACCCGAUGGUCACUCUGACAGAGCUCCAGAGUUCCUCUAUGGAGAUUGGAGAACCUUCAAGAAAAAGUUAGGAGAUAUCUAAUCAAUGGA
This 953-nucleotide long non-coding RNA is filed under the name Salmo salar (Atlantic salmon). Its description in RNAcentral is "lncRNA (ENSSSAG00000082368.1, ENSSSAG00000084662.1)". The record is from RNAcentral. Lineage: Eukaryota; Metazoa; Chordata; Actinopteri; Salmoniformes; Salmonidae.